This 26-nucleotide non-coding RNA is filed under the name Xenopus tropicalis (tropical clawed frog). Lineage: Eukaryota; Metazoa; Chordata; Amphibia; Anura; Pipidae. The record is from RNAcentral. RNAcentral also lists the same sequence under 5 other names.
UUGGCUAAGAUCAAGUGUAGUAUCUG